RNAcentral lists this ribosomal RNA (459 nucleotides) under uncultured bacterium. RNAcentral describes it as "partial 16S ribosomal RNA". It matches the Rfam family "Bacterial small subunit ribosomal RNA", at positions 338 to 795 of the family's 1533-position model. The record is from RNAcentral.
CCUACGGGUGGCAGCAGUGAGGAAUAUUGGUCAAUGGCCGGGAGGCUGAACCAGCCAAGUCGCGUGAGGGAAUACGGCCCUACGGGUUGUAAACCUCUGUUGUCAGGGAGCAAGGUGCAGGUCGGGACCUGCUGGGAGAGUACCCGACGAAAAAGCAUCGGCUAACUCCGUGCCAGCAGCCGCGGUAAUACUGAGGAGGCGAGCGUUAUCCGGAUUUAUUGGGUUAAAGGGGUGCGCAGGCGGGGCCACAAGUCAGCGGUAAAAUCGCGGGGCUCAACCCCGCUCCGCAGUUGAAACUGUGUCACUAGAGUAAGCGAAGGGUAAGCGGAAUGCGUGGUGUAGCAGUGAAAUGCAUAGAUAUCACGCAGAACACCGAUCGCGAAGGCAGGCUACCGGCGAGCAACUGACGCUCAUGCACGAAAGCGUGGGUAUCGAACAGGAUUAGAUACCCCAGUAGUC